GGCACGCCUAACCAUGCAAGUCGAACGAAGUAGCAAUACUUAGUGGCAGACGGGUGAGUAACAUGUAGGUAUCUGCCCUUUGGCCUGGAAUAACACGAGGAAACUUGUGCUAAUACCGGAUAAGUCUUUACGGAGAAAGCUUUAUGCACCAUUGGAUGAGCCUGCACUUGAUUAGUUUGUUGGUGGGGUAAUGGCCUACCAAGACUGUGAUCAAUAGCUGAUUUGAGAGGAUGAUCAGCCACAUUGGGACUGAGACACGGCCCAAACUCCUACGGGAGGCAGCAGUGGGGAAUCUUGCACAAUGGAGGAAACUCUGAUGCAGCGAUGCCGCGUGAGUGAAGAAGGCCCUUGGGUUGUAAAGCUCUUUCGUCGGGGAAGAAAAUGACUGUACCCGAAUAAGAAGGUCCGG
This 409-nucleotide ribosomal RNA is filed under the name uncultured bacterium. RNAcentral describes it as "bacterial SSU rRNA". It matches the Rfam family "Bacterial small subunit ribosomal RNA", at positions 41 to 496 of the family's 1533-position model. The record is from RNAcentral.